This 754-nucleotide long non-coding RNA is filed under the name Brachypodium distachyon (stiff brome). RNAcentral's name for it is "long non-coding RNA (BDIS_LNC003233)". The record is from RNAcentral. Lineage: Eukaryota; Viridiplantae; Streptophyta; Magnoliopsida; Poales; Poaceae.
CCUCACCUUUUUGCUAGCCAAUCCGAAUCUCGGGGUCGAGAUUCACCUUAAGGGGGUAGGUUUGUAACAUCCCAAAUUUUCAAUUUCGGAUGUUCACACAUUUUUAUUUCUCAUGCAUAUCACCUUGAUCAUAUCUUAAAAUUUUGGGGUUUCAUUAUGAUGCUUUAUUGAAAGUGUUUAAAUUGGUGUUUUGGAAUGUGUUAGUUUGGCAAAAAUUUAUUUGGGAAUUUUCUAGGAUUUAAAAAUGCAUUCUAGGAUUUGAUUUCGAUUUAUUUGAAGCUUAAAGGCAUUAAAACUAUUUUUAUUAUUUUAUUUUUGGAGUGGGAAUAAGUUUCCUGGACUCUCUAGAUGAAAUCUAUUAUUUUACAGAAUUUUUGGGAAUUUAUUUGAAGCCAUUUGAUAUUUUAAAUGAUUUAAAUUUAUUUUCGGGUGAAUUAUAGAUCCUGAAAAGUACUUUAUACUCUUGUUCUUUUAUUCUUUUCCUUUUUCUCUGAAAGUACGCUUUCCCCGCGAGAAAGCGUAUUCUUAGUGAAUUGCGCUUUCACUUAAAACCCCGAAGGGCUAUCUUCUAAUCUCAUCCACUCAUCUCAGAUCCGACGGCCCCCAUUUGUUCUCCCUUCUCUCUCACUGCUAGGUGGGUCCCGCCUGUCAUCGCCGACCUCUGGCCAAACUCCAACCGCCGCCCGCGCCCACGCCUGCACCCCGCAUGGCAACCGCCCGCCACUUCGCCCACGCGCCCUUGCCCGAGCCGACC